Long non-coding RNA from Mus musculus (house mouse), 506 nucleotides. RefSeq annotates it as predicted gene, 35197. The record is from RefSeq and is a predicted model, not a curated record. Lineage: Eukaryota; Metazoa; Chordata; Mammalia; Rodentia; Muridae. The transcript has 3 exons.
GGACUUAAGUCACACUUUCUGAGCGGAAAUUCUGAUGAAGAAAGGAAGAAGCUGGUGGUUGCAAUGAAGACACACUGCAGUGCAGCUUGAAGUGUGCUUGCCUUGGCAACAGGAAGAAGGACAUUCGUGCUCCCCUCUUCUCACUCUCACCCAUCUCUGCUUUUGGUUUCCUCUUGACUGCGAUUUCACAUUUUGAAACAAAUGGACUCACCUCAGCCUGCUUAAGGAUAUUGAAUUUCCCUCUUGGGGAAUGUCAGGCCCUGAACCAAAGAUCAUAAAUGAUGGUUGGUUUCUAGUUUACAAAACACAUCCAACUGCACUGCAUGUGGACCUGGUCCCGUUCUGAUUCCUCUGGAUGUACAUCUCUCAGCUCCUUCUGCAGCACCAUGCCUGCCUGGAUGUUGCUGAGCUUCCAGUGAUGAUAAUGAACUGAACCUCUGACACUGUAAGCCAACCCUAUCAUGUUUUCCUUUAUAAAAUUUUCCUUGGUCAUGCUAUUUCUUCAC